GAUGAACGCUGGCGGCGUGCCUAAUACAUGCAAGUCGAGCGAACGGACGAGAAGCUUGCUUCUCUGAUGUUAGCGGCGGACGGGUGAGUAACACGUGGAUAACCUACCUAUAAGACUGGGAUAACUUCGGGAAACCGGAGCUAAUACCGGAUAAUAUUUUGAACCGCAUGGUUCAAAAGUGAAAGACGGUCUUGCUGUCACUUAUAGAUGGAUCCGCGCUGCAUUAGCUAGUUGGUAAGGUAACGGCUUACCAAGGCAACGAUGCAUAGCCGACCUGAGAGGGUGAUCGGCCACACUGGAACUGCGACCCGGUCCAGCCUCCUACGGGAGGCAGCAGUAGGGAAUCUUCCGCAAUGGGCGAACGCCUGACGGAGCAACGCCGCGUGAGUGAUGAAGGUCUUCGGAUCGUAAAACUCUGUUAUUAGGGAAGAACAUAUGUGUAAGUAACUGUGCACAUCUUGACGGUACCUAAUCAGAAAGCCACGGCUAACUACGUG
This 497-nucleotide ribosomal RNA is filed under the name uncultured bacterium. RNAcentral's name for it is "partial 16S ribosomal RNA". It matches the Rfam family "Bacterial small subunit ribosomal RNA", at positions 28 to 507 of the family's 1533-position model. The record is from RNAcentral.